This 226-nucleotide long non-coding RNA is filed under the name Lathyrus oleraceus (garden pea). Its description in RNAcentral is "Pisum sativum (pea) long non-coding RNA (PSAT_LNC004559)". The record is from RNAcentral. Lineage: Eukaryota; Viridiplantae; Streptophyta; Magnoliopsida; Fabales; Fabaceae.
UACAGUAAGGCAUAUAUAAAUAAAACAGUAAACAAUAAUAAACCUGGAUUGCAAUUUAAGAACUAGAAUUGAAUCUUGAAUCUUUGAUUAAAUAAUUCCGAUAGGCUUUGGCAAUAAAUACCUCUUACAAUUGAAUCCCAAAUGAGAAAAAAUAAUAAACCGUAAUAGUCCCUGAUGUGGAGAAACUAUCACUUAUACAAUGGUAAUAAACUGCCUAGAAAACUAA